RNAcentral lists this ribosomal RNA (773 nucleotides) under Streptococcus anginosus. RNAcentral's name for it is "bacterial SSU rRNA". It matches the Rfam family "Bacterial small subunit ribosomal RNA", at positions 28 to 776 of the family's 1533-position model. The record is from RNAcentral. Lineage: Bacteria; Bacillati; Bacillota; Bacilli; Lactobacillales; Streptococcaceae.
GACGAACGCUGGCGGCGUGCCCAAUACAUGCAAGUAGGACGCACAGUCUAUACCGUAGCUUGCUACACCAUAGGCUGUGAGUUGCGAACGGGUGAGUAACGCGUAGGUAACCUGCCUAUUAGAGGGGGAUAACUAUUGGAAACGAUAGCUAAUACCGCAUAACAGUAUGUAACACAUGUUAGAUGCUUGAAAGAUGCAAUUGCAUCGCUAGUAGAUGGACCUGCGUUGUAUUAGCUAGUAGGUAGGGUAAUGGCCUACCUAGGCGACGAUACAUAGCCGACCUGAGAGGGUGAUCGGCCACACUGGGACUGAGACACGGCCCAGACUCCUACGGGAGGCAGCAGUAGGGAAUCUUCGGCAAUGGGGGGAACCCUGACCGAGCAACGCCGCGUGAGUGAAGAAGGUUUUCGGAUCGUAAAGCUCUGUUGUUAAGGAAGAACGAGUGUGAGAAUGGAAAGUUCAUACUGUGACGGUACUUAACCAGAAAGGGACGGCUAACUACGUGCCAGCAGCCGCGGUAAUACGUAGGUCCCGAGCGUUGUCCGGAUUUAUUGGGCGUAAAGCGAGCGCAGGCGGUUAGAAAAGUCUGAAGUGAAAGGCAGUGGCUCAACCAUUGUAGGCUUUGGAAACUGUUUAACUUGAGUGCAGAAGGGGAGAGUGGAAUUCCAUGUGUAGCGGUGAAAUGCGUAGAUAUAUGGAGGAACACCGGUGGCGAAAGCGGCUCUCUGGUCUGUAACUGACGCUGAGGCUCGAAAGCGUGGGGAGCGAACAGG